UACGGGGGUGGCGAGCGUUACUCGGAUUUAUUGGGUGUAAAGGGCAGGUAGGCGUUCCAUUAAGUUAGAAGUGAAAUCCUAAGGCUCAACCUUAGAACUGCUUUUAAAACUGAUGGAAUUGAGGAUAGAAGAGGAGAGUGGAAUUCCCGGUGUAAGAGUGAAAUCUGUAGAUAUCGGGAGGAACACCAGUGGCGAAGGCGACUCUCUGGUCUAUAUCUGACGCUAAGCUGCGAAAGCUAGGGGAG
Molecule: ribosomal RNA, 245 nt
Filed under: uncultured bacterium
Lineage: Bacteria
Description: partial 16S ribosomal RNA
Rfam family: Bacterial small subunit ribosomal RNA
Source: RNAcentral